RNAcentral lists this ribosomal RNA (497 nucleotides) under uncultured bacterium. RNAcentral describes it as "partial 16S ribosomal RNA". It matches the Rfam family "Bacterial small subunit ribosomal RNA", at positions 28 to 507 of the family's 1533-position model. The record is from RNAcentral.
GAUGAACGCUGGCGGCGUGCCUAAUACAUGCAUGUCGAGCGAACAGACGAGGAGCUUGCUCCUCUGACGUUAGCGGCGGACGGGUGAGUAACACGUGGAUAACCUACCUAUAAGACUGGGAUAACUUCGGGAAGCCGGAGCUAAUACCGGAUAAUAUAUUGAACCGCAUGGUUCAAUAGUGAAAGACGGUUUUGCUGUCACUUAUAGAUGGAUCCGCGCCGCAUUAGCUAGUUGGUAAGGUAACGGCUUACCAAGGCAACGAUGCGUAGCCGACCUGAGAGGGUGAUCGGCCACACUGGAACUGAGACACGGUCCAGACUCCUACGGGAGGCAGCAGUAGGGAAUCUUCCGCAAUGGGCGAAAGCCUGACGGAGCAACGCCGCGUGAGUGAUGAAGGUCUUCGGAUCGUAAAACUCUGUUAUUAGGGAAGAACAAAUGUGUAAGUAACUAUGCACGUCUUGACGGUACCUAAUCAGAAAGCCACGGCUAACUACGUG